GGUCACCAGGCUCUUCCACCUCCACAUCGAUCUGCAUGACCUCGUAGGAGGCGCCAUCCGCACUGGAGAGAAGACACAGAGGAGAACAGCUUUCAGGGACUGAUGAGGUAGAAAAAUGUAGAUUUGGUGCCUGCCUCUGCCUGAAAAGGAAGUGACCAGGGUGUAGCUGAGAAUGAACAGAGGAAUCCGCUGAGAGAGAUGAGCUAUGGGUCCUACAAAACUGUCCAUAGGAAACUGGAAUGUCACACAGAGUAAGGGACAAUUCUUCAUGAUAUGAAACCACUGCACAUGCUGCAGGACACCUGUCAACCCAGGCCCUGCCUAUCUAUAAUGGCCAACAGGAAACCCCGGUGAUGAUGACAGCCAGAGACACACCCCACAACCUCCAAAGAGAUGAUCACAGCCAGAGACAUACCCCACAACCUCCAAAGAGAAGCUGAACUUGCUUCAUGUCUAAGAUCCGUAGAGCUGUGGAGUCCAGCAGGCUACCCACCAAAUCAGGAGCUGCCCAUCUGAGCCGCCCACUGUCGUGUGCACCAUCAACGGAAGAUGUGCUGCCUCUCUCCACAUGCAACCUACGUUCCAAAUGUAAAUUUGUAUGUGUGCAUCUGGUUGGGGAAAUCUAAAUCACACCCAGAAUGCCUCACUGCAAGGGACCCUGGGAAAUGCAGUUCUUAGAUGCUCACUAGAAAGGCUGAAGAACCCUAAGCCCACCAGCCCUCAGUGUGCAGGAUUUAGACACACAAUCAACAGAAAUACAGAAAUGCCCGUUUUAGCACCUCAUGUAAACCCUACACUUUUACAUUUCAUGUCAAUCCUCUAGAUAAUCUUUUUGUUGUUAUUGAGGCGGAGUCUUGCUCUGUUGCCCAGGCUGGCAUGGAGUGGUGUGAUCUUGGCUCACUGCACCCUCUGCCUCCUGGGUUCUGGUGAUUCUCCUGACUCAGCCUGGGAUUACAGGUGCAUGCCACUACACCUGGCUAAUUUUUGUAUUUUUAGUAGAGACAGGGUUUCAACAUAUUGGCCAGGCUGGUCUCGAACUCCUGACCUCAAGAGAUCCAUCUGCCUUGGCCUCUUAAAGUGCUGGGAUUAUAGGUGUGAGCCACCAUGCCUGGCCUCUAGGUAACCUUUUAUUUGAAGUUGAGAUUUGCCUUGAUUAGUACAAUGGUUCUUGCCCUCACUGGGCGUCAGAUUCACAUGGAUAACUUAAGAAGUACAGAAGACCGGGUCCCAAAUCCCAGAGAGCCUGAUUCACUCAGUCUGGGCAGGCCCAGGUCAUCCCUGGAUAAUUCCCAUAAGGACCCGGAAUGAGGAACACUGGGUUAGACAACACCGCAGUCACCCAGUAUCCUCUGCCUCCCGAAAGCUGUAGAACCUCGUAGACUUUGUAGAAGACUCUCAUUGAGCUCAGGACUGAAUUGCCGAAAAUACAUAACACAUCGUAAAAAAAGAUCUGAGAAAUGCUCCGAAGGCUGGAACAACACAUGCUCAUCACGAGCAAAGAGAAGUUGCACCAACAGUGGAGGACAUUUUAAUUAGCCAAACCUUAUGUAUAAAAAUGAAAAUGCAGCACUCAGCUGCCAAGUCAACUACUGAACAUUUAAAAGAGCUUAUUGAAACUUUAACAGUGACUUAAACAAAACAAAACAAACAAGUGAAAAUAAACAAAUGGCGGCUGGCAACACAUUGUGUCACAGAUGGAUGGGCUCCACCACGCUGUCCGAGGUAAAUCACAAAAGACAAAAUAAAUAAAUAAAUACAUAAACAACAUUAGGCAGAACUCCCAGGGCUGUAGACCACUUUUUAAAGUCUUCAGACAAAAAUUAAAAAAA
RNAcentral lists this long non-coding RNA (1829 nucleotides) under Homo sapiens (human). RNAcentral describes it as "HSALNT0197335". Lineage: Eukaryota; Metazoa; Chordata; Mammalia; Primates; Hominidae. The record is from RNAcentral.